GGCUGUAGUCGGUCCCAAGGGUUGGGCUGUUCGCCCAUUAAAGCGGUACGCGAGCUGGGUUCAGAACGUCGUGAGACAGUUCGGUCCCUAUCCGUCGUGGGCGUAGGAAAUUUGAGAGGAGCUGUCCUUAGUACGAGAGGACCGGGAUGGACAUACCUCUGGUGUACCAGUUGUCGUGCCAACGGCAUAGCUGGGUAGCUAUGUAUGGACGGGAUAAGUGCUGAAAGCAUCUAAGCAUGAAGCCCCCCUCAAGAUGAGAUUUCCCAACUUCGGUUAUAAGAUCCCUCGAAGAUGACGAGGUUAAUAGGUUCGAGGUGGAAGCGUGGUGACACGUGGAGCUGACGAAUACUAAUCGAUCGAAGACUUAAUCAAUUUUUAAA
RNAcentral lists this ribosomal RNA (380 nucleotides) under Staphylococcus epidermidis. RNAcentral's name for it is "bacterial LSU rRNA". It matches the Rfam family "Bacterial large subunit ribosomal RNA", at positions 2551 to 2925 of the family's 2925-position model. Lineage: Bacteria; Bacillati; Bacillota; Bacilli; Caryophanales; Staphylococcaceae. The record is from RNAcentral.